This 1520-nucleotide long non-coding RNA is filed under the name Zea mays. Its description in RNAcentral is "long non-coding RNA (ZMAY_LNC000761)". The record is from RNAcentral. Lineage: Eukaryota; Viridiplantae; Streptophyta; Magnoliopsida; Poales; Poaceae.
CACAUUUUGCUAGACUUAAAGUGUGUAAAAAUCAUUUAAAAACACAAGGAAGGGGUUGCAUGCAUCGGGGCUUGCCUGGAAGAACACUAGGUUAGUGUUGUUAGACGUCGAUUACUUGACGAUCAGCCUUUGUUCCGAUACUUGCUUCGUCUAUCCAUCUUCAGGUUAAUCCACCAACAUCAUCUUGUGGAGAAGCUCACGCUUUCCAGCAUCUUGUGGUCGACUUAGUUCUGGUUCUCCACAUCACGUGGUUAAUUCACGUACCUGAAUGAAAUGCAUUAUGCACAUGAAUGCAUAUAGACAGGAAUAUCACAUACCUAAAUAGUGCUACGCGAUAGCGAAUUAAACACCUAGCGGCGAGGCGUUGUACAAUUUCAUACGGAAACACUAGUUAUCGAUAUACGACUACGCUCAAUUAUCACAUUUUUCUAGCGUGAUCGCAUCUACUUUAAACAUCAAGUAAUAAUAGGCUAAGCACAAGUCUUUUAUCGAAACACCCAAUAUCAAAUUACUCGUCAUAUUUUCAUUUACUAUUUUUGAAUACCGACAAUUUAGAGUAAAACAUUCACUAUUUUUAAAUACCGACAAUUUAGAGUAAAGAAGCAUAUUAAUCUAAUUACUCAAUAUCCGACUCCAACAUUAUCGAUCACAAACAUAGAUGAUACUAACUACUAGCACAGGAUAUCGACUUCAUCUAUUAACCAAGCCGACAUAAUAACACUAGAAAAUUUAUUAACUAGCCGAUAGAAAUACUAAACCUUUUUUUACGUCAUCAGCUCGCCCGAAUAUCACACGAAUUAAUCUAUCUUUUGCAUUACUAACUCCAUCGUAUCUCACACAUAUUUAACACUACCACAACGCGCCUAUGCUAACACGAGGAUUAUUACGAUUAAUAUAUAUCUAUUCAAUCCAUCGACUCAAUCAAUUAAAAAAUAGCGAACUAAAGAACGGUUACCUAUUCAAUUAGAAUUUCAAGCAAACGUUGCUGAUUCUUGUUCAUGCCUUCUAUCGAGCCCCUGACAAGCGCCCAGCGGGCUUCACUUCUUCACUCAAAUUCCUAAAAAUUGCAGCGGUGAUCGAAGGCGAGCACAUAGAGGCAAAGUCGGAGCGAACACAACGACAAUAAGGUUGUUGCUAUUUGAAACACAGACCCGGCGACGUAAAACCAAAGUUGUCGACGACGGGGUCCCAGUCGAGCAUCUGAGCAGAGGGGAGGUGUCCCGACAUGGUAAGAAAUGACAGCGCGACGACGAGGAGCUAGCGGACGAGUAGCACACUGACGAAUCCAACCUAGAGCUUUGGGCAAGGUCGAGGACGCUCGUGCUGCAGCCAGGACAUCUUGACGACGCUACGGAUGGUGAAAACAGGGUGAUGGUGUGAAGCGGUGUCCAUGAGGACAACAACACGUGGAUGGUUGCGUGGCAUCGACGACCAAGACGACGACAAGGACCGCACGGCUAGUCGAAAAUAUCUACAGAGGACACGGCGAGCACAACCAAGGCGCAUGGAGCUCGUAGGGC